Molecule: ribosomal RNA, 293 nt
Filed under: uncultured bacterium
Lineage: Bacteria
Description: partial 16S ribosomal RNA
Rfam family: Archaeal small subunit ribosomal RNA
Source: RNAcentral
GUGCCAGCAGCCGCGGUAAUACCGGCAGCCCGAGUGAUGACCGAUCUUAUUGGGCCUAAAGCGUCCGUAGCUGGCCACGCAAGUCCGUCGGGAAAUCCACUCGCCCAACGAGUGGGCGUCCGACGGAAACUGCACAGCUUGGGGCCGGAAGGCUCGAAGGGUACGUUCGGGGUAGGAGUGAAAUCCCGUAAUCCUGGACGGACCACCGAUGGCGAAAGCACUUCGAGAAAACGGAUCCGACAGUGAGGGACGAAAGCCAGGGUCUCCAACCGGAUUAGAAACACGAGUAGUCC